This 464-nucleotide ribosomal RNA is filed under the name uncultured bacterium. RNAcentral's name for it is "bacterial SSU rRNA". It matches the Rfam family "Bacterial small subunit ribosomal RNA", at positions 917 to 1382 of the family's 1533-position model. The record is from RNAcentral.
GGGCCCGCACAAGCGGCGGAGCAUGCGGAUUAAUUCGAUGCAACGCGAAGAACCUUACCUGGGUUUGACAUGGGCGCUAAAGCCGCAGAGAUGUGGUGUCCUUCGGGGGCGUUCACAGGUGGUGCAUGGCUGUCGUCAGCUCGUGUCGUGAGAUGUUGGGUUAAGUCCCGCAACGAGCGCAACCCUCGUUCCAUGUUGCCAGCGGGUUAUGCCGGGGACUCAUGGGAGACUGCCGGGGUCAACUCGGAGGAAGGUGGGGAUGACGUCAAGUCAUCAUGCCCCUUAUGUCCAGGGCUUCACGCAUGCUACAAUGGCCGGUACAAAGGGCUGCGAUACCGCGAGGUGGAGCGAAUCCCAAAAAGCCGGUCUCAGUUCGGAUCGGGGUCUGCAACUCGACCCCGUGAAGUCGGAGUCGCUAGUAAUCGCAGAUCAGCAAUGCUGCGGUGAAUACGUUCCCGGGCCUU